RNAcentral lists this ribosomal RNA (491 nucleotides) under uncultured bacterium. RNAcentral describes it as "bacterial SSU rRNA". It matches the Rfam family "Bacterial small subunit ribosomal RNA", at positions 30 to 530 of the family's 1533-position model. The record is from RNAcentral.
AUUGAACGCUGGCGGCAUGCCUUACACAUGCAAGUCGAACGGUAGAGUAGCAAUACUCGAGAGUGGCGAACGGGUGAGUAAUAUAUCGGAACGUGCCCAGUCGUGGGGGAUAACGUAGAGAAAUUUACGCUAAUACCGCAUACGAUCUAAGGAUGAAAGCGGGGGAUUCGCAAGAACCUCGCGCGAUUGGAGCGGCUGAUAUCAGAUUAGGUUGUUGGUGAGGUAAAAGCUCACCAAGCCGACGAUCUGUAGCUGGUUUGAGAGGAUGAUCAGACACACUGGAACUGAGACACGGUCCAGACUCCUACGGGAGGCAGCAGUGGGGAAUUUUCCGCAAUGGGCGAAAGCCUGACGGAGCAAUACCGCGUGAGGGAAGAAAGCCUAACUGGGUUGGUAAACCUCUUUUUUUCAGGGAGGAAAAAAAUAGACGUGUACCUGAAGAAUAAGACAUCGGCUAACUACCGUGCCAGCAGCCGCGGUAAUGUGACUAC